This 492-nucleotide ribosomal RNA is filed under the name uncultured bacterium. Its description in RNAcentral is "partial 16S ribosomal RNA". It matches the Rfam family "Bacterial small subunit ribosomal RNA", at positions 29 to 507 of the family's 1533-position model. The record is from RNAcentral.
AGUGAACGCUGGCGGUAGGCCUAACACAUGCAAGUCGAACGGCAGCACAGUAAGAGCUUGCUCUUACGGGUGGCGAGUGGCGGACGGGUGAGGAAUACAUCGGAAUCUACUUUUUCGUGGGGGAUAACGUAGGGAAACUUACGCUAAUACCGCAUACGACCUACGGGUGAAAGCAGGGGAUCUUCGGACCUUGCGCGAUUGAAUGAGCCGAUGUCGGAUUAGCUAGUUGGCGGGGUAAAGGCCCACCAAGGCGACGAUCCGUAGCUGGUCUGAGAGGAUGAUCAGCCACACUGGAAAUGAGACACGGUCCAGACUACUACGGGAAGCAGCAGUGGGGAAUAUUGGACAAUGGGCGCAAGCCUGAUCCAGCCAUACCGCGUGGGUGAAGAAGGCCUUCGGGUUGUAAAGCCCUUUUGUUGGGAAAGAAAAGCAGCAGGUUAAUACCCCGCUAUUCUGACGGUACCCAAAGAAUAAGCACCGGCUAACUUCGUG